Molecule: ribosomal RNA, 500 nt
Filed under: uncultured bacterium
Lineage: Bacteria
Description: bacterial SSU rRNA
Rfam family: Bacterial small subunit ribosomal RNA
Source: RNAcentral
AGUGCCUUCGGGAACCAUGAGACAGGUGCUGCAUGGCUGUCGUCAGCUCGUGUCGUGAGAUGUUGGGUUAAGUCCCGUAACGAGCGCAACCCUUGUCCUUAGUUACCAGCGAGUCAAGUCGGGGACUCUAAGGAGACUGCCGGUGAUAAACCGGAGGAAGGUAGGGAUGAUGUCAAGUCAUCAUGGCCCUUACAGGUAGGGCUACACACGUGCUACAAUGGCCGGUACAAAAGGAAGCGAAGUCGCGAGGCGGAGCAAAUCCCUUAAAGCCGGUCGUAGUCCGGAUUGGAGUCUGCAACUCGACUCCAUGAAGUUGGAAUCGCUAGUAAUCGUGGAUCAGAACGCCACGGUGAAUACGUUCCCGGGCCUUGUACACACCGCCCGUCACACCAUGGGAGUGGGUGGCACCAGAAGUGAUUAGUCUAACCGCAAGGAGGACGAUCACCACGGUGUGAUUCAUGACUGGGGUGAAGUCGUAACAAGGUAGCCGUAGGGGAACC